GACGAACGCUGGCGGCGUGCUUAACACAUGCAAGUCGUGCGGUAAGGCCCUUUCGGGGGUACACGAGCGGCGAACGGGUGAGUAACACGUGAGCAACCUGCCCUUCACUUUGGGAUAACUGCCGGAAACGGUGGCUAAUACCGGAUAUGACUUCCUCACGCAUGUGGGGUGGUGGAAAGCCUUCGGGUGGUGGGGGAUGGGCUCGCGGUCUAUCAGCUUGUUGGUGGGGUGAUGGCCUACCAAGGCUUCGACGGGUAGCCGGCCUGUGAGGGUGACCGGCCAGACUGGGACUGAGAUACGGCCCAGACUCUUCCGGGAGGCAGCAGUGGGGAAUAUUGGACAAUGGGCGAAAGCCUGAUCCAGCACCGCCGCGUGAGGGAUGACGGCCUUCGGGUUGUAAACCUCUUUCGCCUGCGACGAAGCGAGAGUGACGGUAGCAGGUAAAGAAGCACCGGCCAACUACGU
This 465-nucleotide ribosomal RNA is filed under the name uncultured bacterium. RNAcentral describes it as "partial 16S ribosomal RNA". It matches the Rfam family "Bacterial small subunit ribosomal RNA", at positions 28 to 506 of the family's 1533-position model. The record is from RNAcentral.